UAGGGAAUCUUCGGCAAUGGGGGCAACCCUGACCGAGCAACGCCGCGUGAGUGAAGAAGGUUUUCGGAUCGUAAAGCUCUGUUGUAAGUCAAGAACGGGUGUGAGAGUGGAAAGUUCACACUGUGACGGUAGCUUACCAGAAAGGGACGGCUAACUACGUGCCAGCAGCCGCGGUAAUACGUAGGUCCCGAGCGUUGUCCGGAUUUAUUGGGCGUAAAGCGAGCGCAG
This 228-nucleotide ribosomal RNA is filed under the name uncultured bacterium. RNAcentral describes it as "partial 16S ribosomal RNA". It matches the Rfam family "Bacterial small subunit ribosomal RNA", at positions 355 to 574 of the family's 1533-position model. The record is from RNAcentral.